Molecule: ribosomal RNA, 440 nt
Filed under: uncultured bacterium
Lineage: Bacteria
Description: partial 16S ribosomal RNA
Rfam family: Bacterial small subunit ribosomal RNA
Source: RNAcentral
CUACGGGUUGCUCCAGUGGGGAAUAUUGCACAAUGGAGGAAACUCUGAUGCAGCAACGCCGCGUGGAGGAUGACACUUUUCGGAGCGUAAACUCCUUUUAUAUAGGAAGAAGAUGACGGUACUAUAUGAAUAAGCGCCGGCUAACUCCGUGCCAGCAGCCGCGGUAAUAGCGGAGGGCGCAAGCGUUACUCGGAAUCACUGGGCGUAAAGAGCGUGUAGGCGGAUUAAAAAGUCAGAAGUGAAAUCCUAUAGCUUAACUAUAGAACUGCUUCUGAAACUCUUAAUCUAGAAUGUGGGAGAGGUAGAUGGAAUUUCUGGUGUAGGGGUAAAAUCCGUAGAGAUCAGAAGGAAUACCGAUUGCGAAGGCGAUCUACUAGAACAUUAUUGACGCUGAGACGCGAAGGCGUGGGGAGCAAACAGGAUUAGAUACCCCGGUAGUC